This 449-nucleotide ribosomal RNA is filed under the name uncultured bacterium. RNAcentral describes it as "bacterial SSU rRNA". It matches the Rfam family "Bacterial small subunit ribosomal RNA", at positions 328 to 793 of the family's 1533-position model. The record is from RNAcentral.
UCAGUCGACUCCUACGGGAGGCAGCAGUGGGGAAUCUUGGACAAUGGGGGGCAACCCUGAUCCAGCCAUGCCGCGUGAGUGAUGAAGGCCUUAGGGUCGUAAAGCUCUUUCGCCUGUGAUGAUAAUGACAGUAGCAGGUAAAGAAACCCCGGCUAACUCCGUGCCAGCAGCCGCGGUAAUACGGAGGGGUUAGCGUUGUUCGGAAUUACUGGGCGUAAAGCGCGCGUAGGCGGAUUAGUCAGUUAGAGGUGAAAUCCCAGGGCUCAACCCUGGAACUGCCUUUAAUACUGCUAGUCUUGAGUUCGAGAGAGGUGAGUGGAAUUCCGAGUGUAGAGGUGAAAUUCGUAGAUAUUCGGAGGAACACCAGUGGCGAAGGCGGCUCACUGGCUCGAUACUGACGCUGAGGUGCGAAAGUGUGGGGAGCAAACAGGAUUAGAUACCCCUGGUAG